This is a small nuclear RNA of Mustela lutreola (European mink), 107 nucleotides long. The record is from RefSeq and is a predicted model, not a curated record. Lineage: Eukaryota; Metazoa; Chordata; Mammalia; Carnivora; Mustelidae.
GUGCUCGCUUCAGCAGCAUAGGUACUAAAGGUGUAACAAUACAGAGAACAUUAGCAUGGCCCCUGUGCAAGGAUGACAGGCAAAUUCAUGAAGCAUUCCGUAACAAC